UAUACUUGGGAGUCAGACUGUGGGUGAUAAGAUUCAUAGUCGAAAGGGCAACAGCCCAGAUCGUCAGCUAAGGUCCCUAAAUGUAAGUUAAGUGGUAAAGGAUGUGGGAUUGCACAGACAACCAGGAUGUUGGCUUAGAAGCAGCCACUCAUUCAAAGAGUGCGUAAUAGCUCACUGGUCGAGUGAUCCUGCGCCGAAGAUUUCCGGGGCUAAAACUUACUACCGAAGCUACGGCAUCAGUAAUGAUGGGUAGGGGAGCUUCCCAUACGGGUUGAAGCAUGACCGUAAGGACAUGUGGACAGUAUGGGAGUGAGAAUGUUGGCAUGAGUAGCGAGAUGUGGGUGAGAAUCCCACAGGCCGUAAACCCAAGGUUUCCAGGGGAAGGUUCGUCCGCCCUGGGUUAGUCGGGACCUAAGCUGAGGCCGAAAGGCGUAGGUGAUGGACAACAGGUUGAUAUUCCUGUACUACCGAUAACCGUUUGAGAGAAGGGAUGACACAGUAGGAUAAGCUAAGCACACUGUUGGUUAUGUGUGCCCAAGCAUUGAGGCAGUCAAAGUAGGCAAAUCCGCUUUGAUAAUGCUGGGAUGUGAUGGGGAGCGAAAUUUAGUAGCGAAGUAGCUGAUUUCACACUGUCAAGAAAAGUCUCUAUCGAGGUUAAAGGUACCCGUACCGCAAACCGACACAGGUGGGUGAGGAGAGUAUCCUAAGGCCAGCGAGAGAACUGUUGUUAAGGAACUCGGCAAAAUGACCCCGUAACUUAGGGAUAAGGGGUGCCACCAUCAGGUGGCCGCAGAGAAUAGGCCCAAGCGACUGUUUACCAAAAACAUAGGUUUCUGCUAAGUCGCAAGACGAUGUAUAGGAGCUGACGCCUGCCCGGUGCUGGAAGGUUAAGGGGAUCUGUUAGAGCAAUCGAAGCAGUGAACUUAAGCCCCAGUAAACGGCGGCCGUAACUAUAACGGUCCUAAGGUAGCGAAAUUCCUUGUCGGGUAAGUUCCGACCCGCACGAAAGGCGUAACGAUUUGGGCACUGUCUCAACAACAGACUCGGUGAAAUUGUAAUUCCGGUGAAGAUGCCGGAUACCUGCGACAGGACGGAAAGACCCCAUGGAGCUU
Molecule: ribosomal RNA, 1112 nt
Filed under: Clostridioides difficile
Lineage: Bacteria; Bacillati; Bacillota; Clostridia; Peptostreptococcales; Peptostreptococcaceae
Description: partial 23S ribosomal RNA
Rfam family: Bacterial large subunit ribosomal RNA
Source: RNAcentral